This 1114-nucleotide ribosomal RNA is filed under the name uncultured marine bacterium. RNAcentral describes it as "bacterial SSU rRNA". It matches the Rfam family "Bacterial small subunit ribosomal RNA", at positions 9 to 1191 of the family's 1533-position model. The record is from RNAcentral.
GAGUUUGAUCAUGGCUCAGAUUGAACGCUGGCGGCAGGCCUAACACAUGCAAGUCGAGCGGUAACAUUUCUAGCUUGCUAGAAGAUGACGAGCGGCGGACGGGUGAGUAAUGCUUGGGAACAUGCCUUUAGGUGGGGGACAACAGUUGGAAACGACUGCUAAUACCGCAUAAUGUCUACGGACCAAAGGGGGCUUCGGCUCUCGCCUUUAGAUUGGCCCAAGUGGGAUUAGCUAGUUGGUGAGGUAACGGCUCACCAAGGCGACGAUCCCUAGCUGGUUUGAGAGGAUGAUCAGCCACACUGGAACUGAGACGCGGUCCAGACUCCUACGGGAGGCAGCAGUGGGGAAUAUUGCACAAUGGGCGCAAGCCUGAUGCAGCCAUGCCGCGUGUGUGAAGAAGGCCUUCGGGUUGUAAAGCACUUUCAGUAAGGAGGAAAGGUUGGUGGUUAAUACCCAUCAGCUGUGACGUUACUUACAGAAGAAGCACCGGCUAACUCCGUGCCAGCAGCCGCGGUAAUACGGAGGGUGCGAGCGUUAAUCGGAAUUACUGGGCGUAAAGCGUACGCAGGCGGUUGAUUAAGCGAGAUGUGAAAGCCCCGGGCUCAACCUGGGAACUGCAUUUCGAACUGGUCAACUAGAGUGUGAUAGAGGGGUGGGUGGAAUUUCAGGUGUAGCGGUGAAACGCGUAGAGAUCUGAAGGAAUACUCGAUGGCGAAGGCAGCCACCUGGGUCAACACUGACGCUCAUGUACGAAAGCGUGGGGAGCAAACAGGAUUAGAUACCCUGGUAGUCCACGCCGUAACGAUGUCUACUAGAAGCUGGGGUCCUCGGACACUUUUUCAAGCUACGCAUUAGUAGACGCCCUGGGGAGUACGCGCAGUAAACUCAAUGAUGACGGGGCUCGCACAGCGUGAGCAUGUGUUAUCGAUGCAACGCGAGACUAACUACACUGACAUCAGAGAUCGCUAGAGAUAGCUUGUGCUCCGACUCUGAAACAGUGCUGCAUGCUGUCGUCAGCUCAUGUUGGGAAGUUACUAAGUCCGCACAAGCUACCGUCUAGUGCAGCAUAUGUGACUUAGACUGCGUUAACCGGACAGGUGGACUACGCUCAGCU